GUCAAAAACGAAAAAUCCAAUAUGAAUAAGCUCUACCAGGAGCCACUAACGGCAUAUUCAACUCAAUUUUCUUGCUUUUCAUCCACCUCUCCUCUCGUUCUGACUCUCCAUCUCCACUGCAAUGCAGAUUUUUCUUCAUUUUAUAGAAAACCAUGGCUAAGAUGUAGAAGGAAGGUAUACCCACCGAGAUCUAUACACCAUCAAAGAAUUUUAGACUAUUUAUGCUACUAUUUUUACUGUUUCUUCUUACAUGUGAACCGGAGUUUUUACCCACUAAGAAAGUUGGUGUGGCAGGCAGGCAUCAUCCCUUAACUGAGAAGGCUGUGCGGAGGAGAAUGUGAAUGGGAGAUUAAUUACAGGAAGAAGCGACAUAAACAGAACCCCAAGGAAACAUGUAAAUUGCAGCAAC
Long non-coding RNA from Cyprinodon variegatus (sheepshead minnow), 409 nucleotides. RefSeq lists it as uncharacterized. NCBI's taxonomy places the organism in Eukaryota, Metazoa, Chordata, Actinopteri, Cyprinodontiformes, Cyprinodontidae. The record is from RefSeq and is a predicted model, not a curated record. The transcript has 3 exons.